Long non-coding RNA from Prosopis cineraria, 1608 nucleotides. RefSeq lists it as uncharacterized. The record is from RefSeq and is a predicted model, not a curated record. The transcript is spliced from 3 exons. NCBI's taxonomy places the organism in Eukaryota, Viridiplantae, Streptophyta, Magnoliopsida, Fabales, Fabaceae.
AAACAGUUUUUAAAAACGUUAAAAAAAAAUAGAGAGAGAGAGAGUCGAAGUCAGACAGGUCUUGAGGUUAUUUUGUUGACUUCAGAGUGUUUGAUUUCUGAGUCAUCUCUACAAUCCACUUUCGAUUCAUCGGUUGUCAAGGCCAUCGAAUGAUAGCUACUCCUUAAUUUUGUGAGCCAAGUAACGUGUGAAUUUUAAACAAUAUUAGGUGCAAGAUGAAGCUGUUGCCCCUUGAACGACGUAGCUAGAAGACGAGAACCAAUCAGUGGGGUCCUCUUCAUCUUCCUUUGUCUCUCUCCCGUUGAGCCUCUAGAGAAGAACACCACCUAACCCUCUUAACUUCUCCCUGUUACUAACACUGACAACAAUGACGAGGACCACUACAACGAUGGUGAUGACUCCAUUGAGGGCAGCAUUGAAUGGUGUGACUUUGGGGAGGACGGCUCUAAAUGGGGAAGAUUCUGACGAGAAUGAUGCAGAACAAGGACAACUUUCUCUACUCUUCCUCCAUGAGACGAUGACCCACCUCCUUUCUUUUUCUUAAUGGCUCCCAUCGGCAAUGGCAGCAGUGCUCGGCAGCAAGGGUUGAAGCCGACAAUGAUAUUUUUGUCUUCAAUUGCAGUUAUUGCAUCUGACUUUUGGGUCUUCGAUUUCUGUUGGUUUGAUUUCUAUCUUCAAUUUUGGUUUGAACUGCAUGCAACAACACUUUUAAGAAAAAGCCAUAGCAACUUUUGGAUAGAAGUGAUUAUUGUAUGAACAAAUCAGAAAACCAGGUGCGAUUGAACAAAAGUCUAUAGUGUUGAGUCUAUUUCUCCGUCCCUAGUCUUGUCCUCUUCAAUUUGACUACUGUUGAUGAUCUUGUUUUUAGCUAAAAGUCAAAGCAAUCAGAGUAAGGAGACUGGUUCUUUGUUUGGCAACAAGUCUUUUCUUGUUUUGUCUUUGGUUAAUGGUUUCAACCUAGUUUGAUCUUAUUGGUUUUCUAGUUUUGAUUGUUGAUUCAACCUCUCGUAGCCUUCUUGUUUUGAAGGUUGUUGUUGGUUCUUCAAUUUUAGAGAGAGGAAGAAGGGGGGGAGAGAAAGUGGGAUCAAAUGAAGAGGAGACAUGUAAGGUCAAACAAACGUCUGUUUGUUCAAAACUAAUGACAGGUAGGAAAGGAAGACAGACCUGUGGAGUCAAGUAGCCAUCAUGAACAUCGAUAGAUUAGAUAUGAUCGCUGCUUCACGAACGCUUCCCAUUUCUCUCUCUCACACGAAUCACGGUCUAAGUAUUGCGCGCACGUGUGGAUACAAUGAAUAAUGAGCAAAAUAGCACGACAGUGGGGUGUUUAUAUCCGAUAGCUCAAGACUUAGACAGGGCUAGACACUGGCAAAUCAAUCAUGUGCAGCAGCAGAGAUGAGCGUGUCCAUUUUUCUAAAUCACUUCACCUUCAUGAUGCUACCUCCCACGUUCGAAGCAAGUUAUUUCCAACGCCUUUCAAGUUUUUCCUUUUGGCUUGUGACUCAGAUGUAAUGAUUCUUUCCCAUCUUUUCGCAAAGCGACUACUAUUAGAAACUUGAGCAACAAACAGCACAUAAAUGAACACGUAUUCUCUUUUUCUGGGUUGGAUCA